UUCCAUGGACUAGGUCAGGACUCAGGACUCAUAAUUCAUAAACCAUAAUGUCUCUAACUUUCUACUAAGCUCAUCCUCCAUUUACCAAAUUUAUUACCUCAAGUUCAGGUUAUAAGGUUUAACUAUGUCAACUUUUGAAACUUUACAUUUCAUCUCCAAAUUUCCCGCCGUUUAUCUUUUCUCUCUCCUCCUUCGCGCCCCAUCACAAAAUUCGCUAUCACAUUCGAUCAUCAUCAGAAUUGAAGGUCUUCAAGCUGUAAUUGAUCACAAAUUCGACAAUCAUAGAUUGGUGGGGAGGACCUACGGAAAUUUGCAAAAAAGUAAAAGUAGGAGGGAACAAGGGAGAGCAGCAGGUCACUGAAAACCAAAACAGUUCUACAUGCAAGUUUUGCUGAUAAUGUUUCUGCUAGCAAUAAUUUUGGCAAUAGAUGUGGAAUCAAAUUCAAUAACCACAGAGGGAUCAGUAAAUACC
Chenopodium quinoa (quinoa) is the source of this 472-nucleotide long non-coding RNA. RefSeq lists it as uncharacterized. Lineage: Eukaryota; Viridiplantae; Streptophyta; Magnoliopsida; Caryophyllales; Amaranthaceae. The transcript has 3 exons. The record is from RefSeq and is a predicted model, not a curated record.